GCCGGGUGUGGUGGCUCUCACCUGUAAUCUUAGCACUUUGAGAGGCAGAGGUGAGAGAAUCAUUUGAGUCCAGGAGUUUGAGACCAGCCUGGGCAACACAGUGAGACCUCAUCUCUA
Molecule: non-coding RNA, 117 nt
Filed under: Pan paniscus (pygmy chimpanzee)
Lineage: Eukaryota; Metazoa; Chordata; Mammalia; Primates; Hominidae
Also listed under: 1 other name
Source: Rfam by way of RNAcentral